Molecule: ribosomal RNA, 253 nt
Filed under: uncultured bacterium
Lineage: Bacteria
Description: partial 16S ribosomal RNA
Rfam family: Bacterial small subunit ribosomal RNA
Source: RNAcentral
UACGAAGGGUGCAAACGUUGCUCGGAAUUAUUGGGCGUAAAGCGCACGUAGGCGGCCUACUAAGUCGGACGUGAAAUCCCUCGGCUUAACCGGGGAACUGCGUCUGAUACUGGAUGGCUUGAGUUUGGGAGAGGGAUGCGGAAUUCCAGGUGUAGCGGUGAAAUGCGUAGAUAUCUGGAGGAACACCGGUGGCGAAGGCGGCAUCCUGGACCAACACUGACGCUGAGGAGCGAAAGCCAGGGGAGCAAACGGG